CUAGCAGCAGAAUUUCAGCAUUUGCUACUUACUGGUAGAGAAGAAAAAUUCCACAGAACUGCCAGUACAGCAUUCAGUUUACAAAGAAGAUUAAAAGAAAAUACGGAGCUAACAUCAUUUGCAUCCACUGGGAACCUUCUCUGAACUGUUCUUCAGGAAUGGGUCAUUGCACAUAUAGCCAUCUGUAAUGUGUGAUCAUUUUGUGACAGUCUGAUUAAACAGAAGUGAACCACUG
This is a long non-coding RNA of Parus major (Great Tit), 235 nucleotides long. RefSeq lists it as uncharacterized. The record is from RefSeq and is a predicted model, not a curated record. The transcript is spliced from 2 exons. NCBI's taxonomy places the organism in Eukaryota, Metazoa, Chordata, Aves, Passeriformes, Paridae.